Molecule: ribosomal RNA, 866 nt
Filed under: uncultured archaeon
Lineage: Archaea
Description: bacterial SSU rRNA
Rfam family: Archaeal small subunit ribosomal RNA
Source: RNAcentral
UUCCGGUUGAUCCUGCCGGACCUGACUGCUAUCGGAUUGAUACUAAGCCAUGCGAGUCAUUGUAGCAACACAAGGCAGACGGCUCAGUAACGCGUAGUCAACCUACCCUAUGGACGGGAAUAACCACGGGAAACUGAGUAUAAUGCCCGAUAGAACACUAUACCUGGAAUGGUUUGUGUUCCAAAUGAUUUAUCGCCGUAGGAUGGGACUGCGGCCUAUCAGUUUGUUGGUGAGGUAAUGGCCCACCAAGACUAUUACAGGUACGGGCUCUGAGAGGAGUGGCCCGGAGAUGGGUACUGAGACACGGACCCAGGCCCUAUGGGGCGCAGCAGGCGAGAAAACUUUGCAAUGUGCGAAAGCACGACAAGGUUAAUCCGAGUGGUUUGUGCUGAACGAACCUUUUGUCAGUCCUAGAAACACUAACGAAUAAGGGGUGGGCAAGUUCUGGUGUCAGCCGCCGCGGUAAAACCAGCACCUCAAGUAGUCAGGAUGAUUAUUGGGCCUAAAGCAUCCGUAGCCGGCUCUGUAAGUUUUCGGUUAAAUCUGUACGCUUAACGUACAGGCUGCCGGGGAUACUGCAGAGCUAGGGAGUGGGAGAGGUAGACGGUACUCGGUAGGAAGGGGUAAAAUCCUUUGAUCUAUUGAUGACCACCUGUGGCGAAGGCGGUCUACCAGAACACGUCCGACGGUGAGGGAUGAAAGCUGGGGGAGCAAACCGGAUUAGAUACCCGGGUAGUCCCAGCUGUAAACUAUGCAAACUCAGUGAUGCAUUGGCUUGUGGCCAAUGCAGUGCUGCAGGGAAGCCGUUAAGUUUGCCGCCUGGGAAGUACGUACGCAAGUAUGAAACUUAAAGGAAUUGGCGGGGG